This is a long non-coding RNA of Cyprinus carpio carpio, 737 nucleotides long. The record is from Ensembl. NCBI's taxonomy places the organism in Eukaryota, Metazoa, Chordata, Actinopteri, Cypriniformes, Cyprinidae.
CCAAGCAAGGUGAACGAAAACGAUGCCAGAGGAAUUGUGCCUUUGUUCCCGUGCUUCAGUGUCCCCUUCUUCAAAAAUGGCUAUAAGCAUUACUAUGUUGGUAUGAGUGCCACUGGAUACUUGUUAUGGAGAAUCAAAACUAUACAGAGAGGCAUUUCUAAUGAGGAAUAUAAUUUGAAGGCCAGAAGAGACCAGGAAAGGUGUCUACGUCUCAAGUACAGAUAUCUUCUAAAAGUUUUUUUUUAGAGUGGAACAAGCAUUGCGCAUCUUCAAGACAUCACUGGAAGUGCUCACCUCUGUCUCCUGGCUCUGGGAAGAAUUAUUCAGUUCACCAGUACUUCAGUAUGCCAUUCCAUGCAAGUCAGUGUCUUCUCUCUUGAUGCCUUUGAAAAACUCUUUAAUGGGGUUAAUUUACCCCCACCCCAAAAAAUGAAAAUUCUGUCAUCAUUUACUCACCCUCAUUUUAUAUUAAAACUUAUAUUAAAACUAAGUCAGUGAUUCUGGUAGUGUUUAGGCCAGCAGAGAAGGCAUUGCUGGCCCUGACGGCCCACCACUGGAGUUUUCAGUUCCAGAACACCUGAGCUGUGUUAGUUCAAUCCACUCUGAGUAGGCUGACUCUGACCCUGCGUUCCAUCCAGAAGAGCUCAUCGUGUAUUAAAUAAAUUCAAUGCACACAGACUGAAGUAUUUUAAGUCUUUGGUUCUUUUAAUUGUGAUGAUUUUGGUUCACAUUUAACA